Molecule: long non-coding RNA, 274 nt
Organism: Dicentrarchus labrax (European seabass)
Lineage: Eukaryota; Metazoa; Chordata; Actinopteri; Moronidae
Exons: 3
Source: RefSeq, a predicted model, not a curated record
AGAUUCUUUGGCUUACACAGAGAGCAUGACAACAUUGUCAGCGUAGAUCCAACAGUGAUCCAUGUAGGAGUGAUUUCCUCCUCAUCUCUUGGAUAGUGGAUCUCCAGCACCGUGUUGACAUCUGAAGGUUCCAGGGGUCGGGCCACUGAACGACCAUCCGGCCAGUACACCUCGACAUUGGUGGCCACAUCCUUACCUGCUGUAUGUACAGGCGAUGAGGUCCAUUCCAGUUCCCGUAGACGAUGUCUGUCUUGCCGUCACGGUUGAAGUCUGC